Molecule: ribosomal RNA, 253 nt
Filed under: uncultured bacterium
Lineage: Bacteria
Description: partial 16S ribosomal RNA
Rfam family: Bacterial small subunit ribosomal RNA
Source: RNAcentral
UACGUAGGGUGCGAGCGUUAAUCGGAAUUACUGGGCGUAAAGCGUGCGCAGGCGGUUUUGUAAGACCGAUGUGAAAUCCCCGGGCUUAACCUGGGAACUGCAUUGGUGACUGCAGAGCUAGAGUGUGUCAGAGGGAGGUGGAAUUCCGCGUGUAGCAGUGAAAUGCGUAGAGAUGUGGAGGAACACCGAUGGCGAAGGCAGCCUCCUGGGCCAACACUGACGCUCAUGCACGAAAGCGUGGGGAGCAAACAGG